Molecule: non-coding RNA, 100 nt
Organism: Paramarasmius palmivorus
Lineage: Eukaryota; Fungi; Basidiomycota; Agaricomycetes; Agaricales; Marasmiaceae
Source: the annotation of a GenBank genome assembly
GUCCUCAUCGAUUAGUGGUUAGAUCAUCACGUUGUGGAACUGGCCUCGGGCCGCUUUCAUGAGCACCGUGGGGACGGGAGCUCGAAUCUCCCUGGGGACA